CCGGUGCGACGUGGAAAUGUGUCCGACAGAAAUUUAACCAUUAUAUCGAAGUUUGAGAAGUUCUGCUGCUUGUUUACUCUUUUAAACUCGUAUCUGUAUAAAACGCUAUGUAUAUGCUUAAUGGUAAAUCACUGUAAGGUAAAACUAGCUUGUCAAAAUGAACGCCAAAGUAUUAUUCGUCAUAUCUGCGGUCUUUUCACUGGCAGCUGCGGCAGCGGGUGAGAUGGUGAAUAUAUCCAAAGGAAAGAUGGUCAUGGGAACCAGUGCAGCUGAUGGGAGAGAUGGAGAGGCGCCCGUCAAGGAGGUUAAAGUGAAGCCCUUUAAAAUGGACAAAUACCCGGUGACAAAUACUGAUUUCAGAGACUUUGUGAGAGCACAGAAGUACAAAACUGAAGCCGAGACGUUUGGUUGGAGUUUUGUGUUUCAAGACUUUGUGUCAGAAGAGCUGAAGAGCAAAGUCACACAGAAGAUUGAGUCUGCUCCUUGGUGGCUGCCUAUUGAUCGGGUGUUUUGGAGACAGCCUGCAGGACCUGGUUCAGGCAUUCGGGAGCGUCUGAGCUUCCCUGUGGUCCAGGUGAGCUGGAACGAUGCUCAGGCGUUCUGCCGCUGGAAGGGCAAGAGACUCCCUACUGAGGAGGAGUGGGAGUGGGCUGCACGAGGGGGGCUGCAAGGUCGGAUUUUCCCAUGGGGAAACAAGUUCCAGGCCAACCGUACCAACCUGUGGCAGGGAUCCUUUCCAGACGGAGACACGGCAGAGGACGGUUACCAUGGCGUCUCUCCUGUCACAGCAUUUCCUCCUCAGAACAGUUAUGGGCUGUAUGACAUGAUGGGGAACACUUGGGAAUGGACCUCCACACCCUUUCCUGCAGCACAGCCACAUUUUGUCCUGCGAGGCGGCUCCUGGAUCGACACGCUGGACGGCUCAGCCAAUCAUAAGGCGCGAAUCACAACAAGGAUGGGCAACACUCCGGACUCUGCCUCUGACAACCUGGGAUUCAGGUGUGCCUGAUGAUGAUGGAGAGAAACAAGGGAAGAAAAAAGACAAAACUGAACUGUAGCAACACAGGAAAUACAAAGUGAAGGAUACAAAAGUUCUUAGGAAUCAAACAGAGAAGAAGGAAAAAAACAAGGGACCAAUCAGAUUCUUGUUGCUCGUGGACUCAUUUCACUGACUGGAGAAAGAGGACACUUCCUUUCACACGCUGGCGUCUGUUUUGGUGAGCAUGUGACUGGAGAGUAAAUGAGUCCAUGGGAUAAAUCUCAGUGUCCUAUAAUCCUGUCUUUGUCUGUUUUCUUUCUCAUCACAAGAGGACAGCUUAGUGGUUGUUUGGACUCAAUCUGUUCAACCUCGCAUAUUUUUGUGUCUAAACUCCACUUUUAUUUUAGUAUCAAAGAACUGUGUAAAGCAAACAAAUGGACCACUACUGAUUACACAAUCCAGAGUGUGUGGAUUUAAAUAUGUUUUAGUGUUAAUAGUUUGUUAGAAUAAUUUCAUUGCCAACAUCUUUUUUUAAUUAUAUUUAUAUCAACAAAUGUACCAGCAUCUGUUAUUGUAGUGUUUAUUCCUUGGGCAAAUCAGUGUUUUGGUUCUAUUUGCCAUUUUUACAUAGACAACAUUUUUAUUGUGCCCAAAGAAACUUGUGCAAACUUGACUUAAAGUAGUUUCAUAGAUUCGUUCUCUUUUUGAUACAAUAUCUUGCAGGAUUUUGUAUUUCUCUGUCUUGUUAAUAUCUAUUCUUUACAAUACUGAAACAAGAGAAAGUUUCCCACUGACUUUUUUUAAGUUCAACCUUUUUUUUUAGAAUAAAAUGGAAGUUAUUGUAGAUGAUAGAAGAAUAA
Gymnodraco acuticeps is the source of this 1839-nucleotide RNA transcript. It is a transcript of the gene named sulfatase modifying factor 2, with no coding region annotated. The transcript has 10 exons. The record is from RefSeq and is a predicted model, not a curated record. Lineage: Eukaryota; Metazoa; Chordata; Actinopteri; Perciformes; Bathydraconidae.